This 467-nucleotide ribosomal RNA is filed under the name uncultured bacterium. Its description in RNAcentral is "bacterial SSU rRNA". It matches the Rfam family "Bacterial small subunit ribosomal RNA", at positions 28 to 507 of the family's 1533-position model. The record is from RNAcentral.
GAUGAACGCUGGCGGCGUGCCUAAUACAUGCAAGUCGAACGGGGAGUACUAAUUUCGGUUUUUACUCCUAGUGGCGAACGGGUGAGUAACGCGUUGGUGACCUGCCCCGAAGCGGGGGAUAACAGUCCGAAAGGGCUGCUAAUACCCCAUGUGGUCGUACAGGUUAGAGGCUGAACGACUGAAGGAGCAAUCCACUUCGGGAGGGGCCUGCGUCCCAUCAGCUAGUUGGUAAGGUAACGGCCUACCAAGGCGAUGACGGGUAGGGGACCUGAGAGGGUGGUCCCCCACACUGGCACUGAAACACGGGCCAGACACCUACGGGUGGCAGCAGUAGGGAAUAUUGCACAAUGGGCGAAAGCCUGAUGCAGCAACGCCGCGUGCGCGAAGAAGGCCUUCGGGUUGUAAAGCGCUUUUCUGGAGGAAGAGGAAGGACGGUACUCCAGGAAUAAGGAUCGGCUAACUACGUG